This 766-nucleotide ribosomal RNA is filed under the name uncultured bacterium. RNAcentral describes it as "bacterial SSU rRNA". It matches the Rfam family "Bacterial small subunit ribosomal RNA", at positions 31 to 791 of the family's 1533-position model. The record is from RNAcentral.
GAACGCUGGCGGCAGGCUUAACACAUGCAAGUCGAGCGGGGAAAGGUAGCUUGCUACUUGACCUAGCGGCGGACGGGUGAGUAAUGCUUAGGAAUCUGCCUAUUAGUGGGGGACAACAUCUCGAAAGGGAUGCUAAUACCGCAUACGUCCUACGGGAGAAAGCAGGGGACCUUCGGGCCUUGCGCUAAUAGAUGAGCCUAAGUCGGAUUAGCUAGUUGGUGGGGUAAAGGCCUACCAAGGCGACGAUCUGUAGCGGGUCUGAGAGGAUGAUCCGCCACACUGGGACUGAGACACGGCCCAGACUCCUACGGGAGGCAGCAGUGGGGAAUAUUGGACAAUGGGGGGAACCCUGAUCCAGCCAUGCCGCGUGUGUGAAGAAGGCCUUUUGGUUGUAAAGCACUUUAAGCGAGGAGGAGGCUACCGAGAUUAAUACUCUUGGAUAGUGGACGUUACUCGCAGAAUAAGCACCGGCUAACUCUGUGCCAGCAGCCGCGGUAAUACAGAGGGUGCAAGCGUUAAUCGGAUUUACUGGGCGUAAAGCGCGCGUAGGUGGCCAAUUAAGUCAAAUGUGAAAUCCCCGAGCUUAACUUGGGAAUUGCAUUCGAUACUGGUUGGCUAGAGUAUGGGAGAGGAUGGUAGAAUUCCAGGUGUAGCGGUGAAAUGCGUAGAGAUCUGGAGGAAUACCGAUGGCGAAGGCAGCCAUCUGGCCUAAUACUGACACUGAGGUGCGAAAGCAUGGGGAGCAAACAGGAUUAGAUACCCUGGU